Molecule: non-coding RNA, 409 nt
Organism: Cinara cedri
Lineage: Eukaryota; Metazoa; Arthropoda; Insecta; Hemiptera; Aphididae
Source: the annotation of a GenBank genome assembly
UUUUUUUAAUCGGACUACGUUUCCUAGAAAACCGACAGUAAAACGAAAUAUUACAAUCGCUUAUUGUGCACAUAACACGAUGCAAAACCCGCAAAAAACGCACACCGCUCCUAUAUAUAUAUAUGUAUAUUUAUAAUUUUAAUUAGUUUCGUGUGUUUUUCGCGAUACAUACGUGUAUGUAGGCAUUAAGAACGGUUUUGCUCUGUCUCGAUUUUCACUUUUUUUGGUCGAACAUGUUUACCUUCGUGUAUAUACAAACUCUCGGCACUAGAUAACUGCAAGACUUUUACGAUUUACAUUCAAUUUGAACUUAAAAUGCGUUAAAAAAAAAAACUUCAUUUCGUUCAAUUUUUUGAAUUUGGGUCCGGAACAUAGUGAAGAAUAAUGUAUAAGUUUUACAAUGAUGUUU